This 641-nucleotide ribosomal RNA is filed under the name uncultured bacterium. RNAcentral describes it as "bacterial SSU rRNA". It matches the Rfam family "Bacterial small subunit ribosomal RNA", at positions 28 to 660 of the family's 1533-position model. The record is from RNAcentral.
GAUGAACGCUAGCGGCAGGCUUAAUACAUGCAAGUCGAGGGGCAGCAGGUCUGUAGCAAUACAGAUGCUGGCGACCGGCAAACGGGUGCGUAACACGUACGCAACCUUCCCGUUACUGGGGAAUAGCCCAGGGAAACUUGGAUUAAUACCCCAUAUUAUAUUGGUUGGGCAUCCGACUGAUAUCAAAGUUUUAACGGUAACGGAUGGGCGUGCGGUUGAUUAGGUAGUUGGCGGGGUAACGGCCCACCAAGCCUACGAUCAAUAGCUGAUGUGAGAGCACGAUCAGCCACACGGGCACUGAGACACGGGCCCGACUCCUACGGGAGGCAGCAGUAAGGAAUAUUGGGCAAUGGACGCAAGUCUGACCCAGCCAUGCCGCGUGAAGGAUGUAGGUCCUCUGGAUUGUAAACUUCUUUUAUCUGGGGCGAAAAUCGGGUAUUCUUAUCCGCUUGACAGUACCAGAGGAAUAAGCACCGGCUAACUCCGUGCCAGCAGCCGCGGUAAUACGGAGGGUGCAAGCGUUAUCCGGAUUCACUGGGUUUAAAGGGUGCGUAGGUGGGCAGGUAAGUCAGUGGUGAAAUCCCCGAGCUUAACUUGGGAACUGCCGUUGAUACUAUCUGUCUUGAAUGCUGUGGAGGUAA